This is an RNA transcript of Rhineura floridana, 1648 nucleotides long. It is a transcript of the gene named waprin-Phi1-like, with no coding region annotated. NCBI's taxonomy places the organism in Eukaryota, Metazoa, Chordata, Lepidosauria, Squamata, Rhineuridae. The transcript is spliced from 5 exons. The record is from RefSeq and is a predicted model, not a curated record.
GUUCGCAUCAGGGCCAGACGUAUUCCCUGAUCUGAUCCGAUUGCGCAAUGGAAUAAGGAGGGAGUUGGGCUCAGCUUGUUCUCUAUUCAUCACCCAGGAGCCUGUCUUCCCCCCCUCCCUCCCACUCAGCCAGCCACACCUGGAAGAGCUUAAAGCUCGGCCUGGAGCACACAGAGCCCCACAGCGUCUUCCUGGCCGGCAGCAGCACCACCAUGAAAUCCAGCAGCAGAAGCUUCUGCCUCCUCCUCCUCCUCCUGUCCCUGGUGGGGCUCCUCGCCGCCUCGGCACAGCAGCUGGACACGCCCAGACAGAACCUUACAGUUGCUGCGCAAAAAGCUGGCACGUGUCCUGACGCAGAGGAGGCGAAGACGAACAGUGGGAACUGCACAGAAGAGUGCCAGUCGGACGCCAGCUGCCACGGGGUCGAGAAGUGCUGCCGGACGGGCUGUGGGGCCACUUGCCGAAUCCCAAAUGAUAAGCCUGGUUCCUGCCCGCAGGCUAUUCACGGGAUCUCAGCGCUGGGCCUUUGCAAGGAGGAGUGCAGAAAGGAUUCAGAGUGCCGGAGCACCAGGAAAUGCUGCGAGACUGGCUGUGGGAUGUGGACCUGUGUCCUUCCCAGGUCCUGAGGGGCAACAUAGGAGAUGCUGAGACAUUGAAGCUAACAAUUCAUAAAUAGGCACCAAAAGGUGCUGUAGCUGAAGAUAUUGCCACUCAGCACUAACAGAUGCAGGCCGGACUCCGUGGAGCAGCUGAGGUGGGAGACUCUCCAGUAGAGCCCAUCAGCCCUAAAGACAUGAUGAUGACAGUGGUCUCCUCCCUGCCCAGCCCCCGCUGCUCUGCUUUCAGCACCUGGUCACUUCUCCACCUCCCACCUGUCGGAGCCCCCCACCCACUUUUGCAGUAAAACCCUCACUUUGCACAGCAGCCCCUGUUCUUGUGGCUUUGCUGUUGCUCUGCCCUUUGGACCACCUGUCCCCCUUGCUUUGUGCAUGCACAGAACGCCUGCCACAUUUUGGGAAAGCCAGAGAGGGGAGGGGCAUCAGCUCCUUCCCCUGGCUUUGUGGUGCCACCUUCCAUUCCUUCAUCCUGGUCCAAAAUAAAAGUAAAGCCAGUUGCUCAGAUCAUAUCCCUAAAUGUAUACUACAAGCAAACACAUUUAAGACACUGCUUGAAGGCUGAACAAUAAAAUUAAGAGUUUGUCAUUCUGUUCUAUUCUAUCUAUAAAUUCUGUGCUGUGUAUUUCCUCCUAAUUAUGGUAUUAAUUGUUAAAGAAGCUCUUCACAAUGUAAACUGCAGGUAGCUCAGGUUUAGCAAACCUAUGUUAACUUGCAAUGAGCUGCAUUUUCACAAAGCUUGCAGAGGAGUGGGGGGGGGGAGGACUAAUAGUUCUGUGCAUCUUCACAGCAUCUUCACAUAGCAGGUAGCCAUCCCACCUCCUGAGGGUGUGCUGGCCCUUUUCUUCUUCCUCUGGUCACCCCCUUGAGCACAGCUUUUACCGCCUGCUGUCCUACUCGCACGGUCAGCCUGGCAACUGUCAGGAGGGAAGUUGCAGAAGAAGGAAAGGGAUCCCGCCCUCCCCACAGUAAGAUCUGCUUGUUAUGACCCAAUAUUUUAUUCCUCAUUAGAUGGAUGCAGACAAACUGGAACA